Molecule: long non-coding RNA, 2393 nt
Filed under: Anthonomus grandis grandis
Lineage: Eukaryota; Metazoa; Arthropoda; Insecta; Coleoptera; Curculionidae
Description: uncharacterized LOC126733650
Source: RNAcentral
UAAGCAUUUUUGGCGCGAAACAUUCCGUAAAUGUAUUUGAAUAUAUAUUUUUUAAAUUGUUCUAUCAGAAUUCAAAACGUUAAUCAGAAUUGCUUACAACCGAAGUUAAAACCGAUAUUAAAAUGUUCUAUGUGCUAAAUUAAAAAAAUAAUUAGUAUUAUAAUGUUCUAACAGUGGAGCCAAUCAGAUUUCAAAGUCAACUGCUGAGAGAACAAUAUAAUAUUAUUUUGCACUAGUCAACAUCGAGCUUUGUUUUGUAAAACCGUGUGCUGUUUUUUUACGGUUUAGUGCUGUUUUUUAACCACUUUGAAAAAAAUGGACUUCGACAUGGAGGCAUCAACAUCAGGAAUGAAUCCACGUAAAAGAAUGGAGUAUAUAGACAAUAGUGAUGAUUCGCAUCUUGAUCUAGAUUUUAUCCCAUCUGACGAAAGCCUGGAAGGAAUGAGAGGUUUUAUGUCUAACGUUACACAGGAAAAUGACACACCUUUGCAAAGCAACUCUGAAGCACCCGAAGAAACCAAUCAGCAAAAUUCCGCUAUUUCUGAUGAAAAUAAAUCUACCAGAAAACGAAAACGAAAACUUGAGAUGUGGAAAAUGAAUAUUAAUAAAGUUUUGUGCCAAAGAGAAAAGAAACAUAGAGAUCUAAAAGGUAACAUCCGCAAGGGAAAAAAUUUAAAAACUUUAAAAAAUUGUGAGAACAAUUGCAAAUUUCUGUGUGGCAAGAAGAUAAGUUUACCUAAACGAGAAACCAUAUUUCAAAAAUUUUGGGGAAUAAUCCAAUGACGCUAAAUGGCACUUUUACGCAAAAAAUACCGAAAGAAUAAACAAAAUACGAAAGCAAACUUUACGAGAAGUAUCACGUAGAAGUUAUUCAUUUAAAUAUUAUUUUCACAUAGCAGAUGAAAAAAUUCGCGUAUGCAAGGCAUUUUUUUUGACGACACUGGGCAUAAGUCAACAAAGAAUCAAUUAUUUUCAUGAGAAAAAAAGAAAACCUUACAGGAAUUCCUUUACCAUCUCGUCUAGGUUGUCAUCCCAAGAAAACUAUUAGUAGUACAAGCAAAGACUACGUUCGACUUCACAUUAGUCAACUUCCGAGAGUAGAAUCUCAUUAUUGUCGAGCUGAUACAUAAAAGAAAUAUUUAGAAGGAAACCUAGGUAUUAAUAAGUUAUAUUCUUUGUACACUGAAUUUUGCAAUGAAAAGCAAAUUGAACCUGUUACAAAGGUUGUUUACAGAAAUAUUUUCUACUAUGAAUACAACAUUGAUUUUUUAAAGCCAAAAAAGGAUCGUUGUGAUGUGUGCGAUGAGUACCGAAUAAAACAAAAAUAUGGUAUGACUGAUGAAGAAAAACAAAGAUUUGAAAAUCAUUUACAAGGAAAAACCCCAGCGAAAAUUGAACGCAAUUUGGAUAGAUCCAACCAAGAUCAAAUCACUGCUAUCAUAUGUUUUGACCUAGAGAACGUUUUUGCACUACCGCGUUUUAAUAUAUCCAGUUUUUUGCAUAUAUUAGAACGUUAUAGCAGAAAACUCAACACCUACAACCUUACUGCACACUGUAAUUUACGCAAACAAGCGUACUGUUGUAUUUGGAGCGAAGGAACACAUGGGAGGAAGGGAAGUGAUAUUGCUUCGGGAUUAAUUAAAAUUUUAGAACGCGUUGUAGCAGCUUACCCGCAUAUUUCAAAAAUCGUUUUGUGGUUUGACUGCGUACCUCAUGUACCUCAAAACAAAAACUCUAUUAUCAGUUUGGCUUUGAUGAAGUUCCUAGAAAAACAUCCCUCUGUUAACGAAAUAGCACAGAAUUUUGGAGAACCGGGACAUAGCAGUGUCCAGGAAGUCGAUAAUUUGCAUAGCCAAAUCGAAAGAAAACUGUCUGGUGCAGAAAUAUUUAGCCCUUUGGGAUUACUUCGACUUCUUCCUUCAGUGAAUCACAAACGACCUUUUGUAGUAUUUCAUAUGAAAGCACAAGAUUAUGUUCUAUAUAAAGAAACUUCACAGGCGCUAAACUUUAAAAAAGUUCCUUAGACUUCAGUACGGCAAUUAAAAUAUGAGGGACUCUAUCCAAACAAAAUUAGUUACAAGCUUAAGCACAGUGACGACUCUUUUACCGAAGUUCCUAUUAUAGACACAGAUUAGUACUAUUAGGACCAAAAUAAAUACUUCAUAUAAUCUGCCUGAAGUACGAUGUGCACCAGAGCCAAAAAAUUGCCUCUUACCGUUUGCCAUUGUAGCUGAUCUAACAAGAUUAUUUAAAUUUAUGCCCCCUGUUGAUGUAACGUUUAUGAAAUGUUUGUUUGAAGAAUACAAUAACCCGUCAGUUUUUAAAAAUGAAAAAAUAAAGUUAAACAAAAAUGAAUAAAAUGUUAUGUAUCUUGGUAGUGUUUCAAACAUAUA